This 72-nucleotide transfer RNA is filed under the name Camelus bactrianus (Bactrian camel). It matches the Rfam family "tRNA". Rfam says of the family: Transfer RNA (tRNA) molecules are approximately 80 nucleotides in length. Their secondary structure includes four short double-helical elements and three loops (D, anti-codon, and T loops). The record is from Rfam by way of RNAcentral. Lineage: Eukaryota; Metazoa; Chordata; Mammalia; Artiodactyla; Camelidae. RNAcentral also lists the same sequence under 2 other names.
GAAGGUGUAGCUCAGUGGUAGAGCACCUGCUUAGCACGUCUGAGGUCCUAGGUUCAAUCCUCAGUACCAUCU